This 3295-nucleotide long non-coding RNA is filed under the name Lactuca sativa (garden lettuce). The record is from RNAcentral. Lineage: Eukaryota; Viridiplantae; Streptophyta; Magnoliopsida; Asterales; Asteraceae.
UCGUCUUCAUCGUCUCCUUUUCGGCUACUAGAAACCAAUAAACGAUCUCGAUAGGUUUUCAAGGAAUAUAGAUUCAUAUUAGACAACUUAGAGAUAAUUUUCUGUUUGUUUUUGUUAAUAUCUUUUAUGUGUUUAUCUGUUAUUGAUUUCUUUGAAAGAAGAGAAAUGGAAAUAAGCCAAUUUGCAGAGCAAGGGCGCCUAUGAAAUGUGACGAAACUUGCAUUGAAGGUUGGCAAAAUCAAAACAAUUUCUGCGAUUCUCCGUGCCUAUCGAAUCUCUUGAUUUUGAAUACGGCCUCGAACAAAUCGCUACAUUUUUUUCUUCCAUCAUGCGAUCUUUUUCGACUUAUAAUCACCAUAGAUUAUCCUUUGUGUAUUAGUUCUAUAUUUUUCGUCGAUAUGAUCAAAUUUUAAACUUCUGUCGAGCUACUCAGGGCAUUUACUUAAUUAGACCAUAAAAAGCCAAUUUGCAGAGCAAGGACGCCUAUGAAAUGUGACGAAACUUGCAUUGAAGGUUGGCAAAAUCAAAAUAAUUUCUGCGAUUCUCCGUGCCUAUCAAAUCUCUUGAUUUUGAAUACGGCCUCGAACAAAUCGCUACAUUUUUUCUUCCCUUUUCGUGUUUUUGUUCAAAAAUUUCUUUUUAUUAUGUGAUCUUUUUCGACUUUUUGAUCACAAUAGGAUAUCCUCAGUGUAUUAGCUCUAUGUUCUUCGUGGCUAUGGUCAAAAUUUCAAUUUGUGUCGAGUUACUAAAGGCAUUUACAUCAUUAGAACAGAAUAUAAUUUAUUAGAGCAGAAAAAGCCAAUUUGCAGAGCAAGGACGCCUAUGAAAUGUGACGAAACUUGCAUUGAAGGUUGGCAACAUCAAAAAAAUCUAGCGAUUCUCCGUGCCUAUCAAAGUCUUUCAGUUUUGAAUAUGGCCUCGAACAAAUCGCAACAUCUCUUUUAGGUUUUUGUGCUCUCGUUUUUUGCCGAUAAUUUGAAUCUUUUGAGGUUAAGGAUCCUUCGCAGAAGCUUCUUGAUUAAGCCUUAUUGACAUUGAUAGAUUUAUAGUUAAUCUAAUGUCAAGAAUAUCUAAAGAAAAUUUUGAUUGGCGUUGCAAAUUAUCAUAAGAACUUCAAUGUUUAACAUUUUAUACAACGAAAUUUUAGGAAAAACAGUUCGGAUAAGGCUAGAUUUACACAAGUAUAUACUAAAGUCUCUAAUUAACUAUUCUUAGUAUUCUAUCUAAAAAAUUGGUAACAAUGUUAUUGAACCAGUUUUUCAAACAACACAACUUGAAAUCAACAACUUGCCAAAAUGAAAGUUUGAUUUGCGCUGAUGUGGGAAGUUGUGACCAUGUAGUUAAAAUAAAAAGGCAGUAAAAGUUUUAAUUGGUGCUCAAGUGAAAGAUUUCGAAAUGCUCACGUAAAUCAUUAAAAUACAAAAUAUUGCUUCUAGUACUCUGAUGUGUACUGGCACUGACGCAGCUUACCACGGCGAGAUCUCUUGUGCUGCCAUCAUCUUCUUAAAUAACCAUUAGUGGUAUGGCUGCCACGUUUCAGUUAUCAUACUGGCUCAUAAAAAGAAGAGUGAUCAACAAAGAAACGUUGGAAACCAAUUUUGUUGGAAAAUAGUCUUUCUAAGCUUUCAACGAAGCAACGACAUUAAAGAAAUGUAGUAGAUUGGAUGAUAUCACACAGGUGGAGGGAGGCUGCUGCUUCAUGUUGAAGUUCUGUCAUUUUGGGCUUUCCAUAUGCACCAAAGUGAUACAUAAUAUAUUUUGAGAAGCAAUUUUUUUUUUAGGGUAAUCAAACUAGUUGUUGGCAUAAUCUAAGAUGUCCUAUGCCGUUCGGAAAUUAGAUAUUGGAACCCCGCACCAUUUCAAAAUGCAAUCUAAUACCAAACGGGCAUACUCACAUCUAACUAAUGCAUGAUCGGCACUUUCCUACAUGGUCCCACAAUGGCUGCAUAAAUUAGUUUCAAAGGCUGCAAGAGAUUUUACUCAUUCUUGCUCGCCAAGUAAAGCAAAUCACCUUAAUUGGAACUUCUUUUAGCCAAGUAAACUUACCAUUAGCGCUCGGCGGACUGAAAUCCCAAAGUUUCCUUAGAGCCUUGACAAUGGAAGAUCCAUCCGAGGUGAGACUGCAGUGCUAGUAGUCUCUAAUUGGGUCUUGCUUUUUUGUUAGGACUUGUUCAACUGGAAUAUACUUCUUUACCAAAUCUUUUCUAAUGCCCGCAAUGUUAUUCCAUAUGCCGGGUACAGUGUUACUUGCAUUCAACGGGAUCAGAUGAGAGCUAAAAUAGCUGCCCCGAAAUAAAUAAAUUACUGCGCCAGCCUUUGUGUACUUACAUCCCCUCCAUUUUGAUAAAAAUUUAUUUUUUGUAACUUAAAAGGUUAAAAUCUAGUUUUUAAAAAACUAAAAAAGUUAAAAACCCUGUUUAGUUUGGGUUGAGGAGGUCCUGUUUUUUGGUAUAGGCCAAGAUAUCCGGUGCAAGCAUGCUGUAAGGUGUGGGCACCGAGGCUCGAGAGAAACAGUGUGGUAUGCCAACAAAACUUUGGUAUUUUAACCCGAUGGCUGAUUGGAUCUGUGAUAUAUUGACAUUUUUACCUGGGAUAUUCCAUCCUGAAGAUGAUUGGACUUAACGGUUGAUUGGGUCCUAGGUAUUCUAACCCAAUGGUUGAUUGGACCUGACAUGUUUGGCUGUAUAUAUUAUCUAUUUGUGUGGUGGUAACGGGGGCCUUGCGGGAGUACGAAAUGAAAAUUCCUACUCAUGCCUUAGGUCUCGAAAAUAAAACAAGGUUUAAUCUGACUCUUGCUCUCGUAAUUUUGAAAAAGUUAUACCAUUUUCUGGAGUCGAUUCCUACAGAAACAAGGUCCCACAAAAAUAAUUGACAUCCCCAGGUCUUUCGUGUUAAAACCAUAUUAGUAUAUGAUUGCUGUCUUGUUGUGACUAAAAAAUGAUAAAAAUGGACAGUAAAUGCCUCAUACAUCCUUACAUUUGUAAGUUUUUAUCGGAUUUACUAAAAGUUGUAUUUUACGUCAAUUAUAACCUCAAAUUUAUAGAAUUUUUUUUAUAAACUUGCUCUUUUUGUAAAUUUAUCCAGUAAAAUUGAUUUUCUUGCAAAACCUAAGGGUUGUAAUUAAAUAAAAAACAAAUUUAAAGGCUUUUAUGAACCAAAAAAGGGUAAAAUGAAUAUUUAGUCCACAUGUAAAUAAUUUAAUUGAUCCGAGGGUAAAAUUGAAAUAAAAAGGUACAAACAUUCGGUUUUAAUGAACCUAAAACCUGCAAAAGUAUAAAAUCGACAAAAACUUGCA